UUUUCUCAAAAGAAAAAGCUCAGCCACAAAUUUAAAGUGUUGUACAGCACUCUAGCCUUUAAGUCAGUAACUCAACAAAGGCAGUAAAAUAGAAAGAUACAGUAGUGAGAGCAAUGGAGGAAGAGAAAAGAGAGAUGGUCUGAUACCGGAGGUUGUCGACUUAGACUCGAGCACAGAGAGACGGACUCACAGCAGGGCAACUGGCACUGCGAUCGGGGGCACACGCACCGUAAUUCACAGCAACGUUUGAUUAUUUGCCCAGGUGGCCCACAAAAGUUUGCUGAUCACGUUUGAACAAAUGGAAGUCCUUUGAACAUUUGACUCUAUUAUUUGCUGAUCACCUUUUUUUUGGGCUGAAUGUUAGUGUAAAUUUGCUGAUCACGUUUUGUUUUUUUGGGCGGAAUGUAGUUUAAAUUUGCUGACUACGUAUUAUUUGCCCAGGUGAAGAAUGUUGCCCAGGUGAAGAAACUGUUGCCCACAAAAGUUUGCUGACCACGUUUGAACAAAUGGAAGUCCUUUGAACAUUUGCCUCUAUUAUUUGCUGAUCACGUUUUUUUGGGCUGAAUGUAAUGUAAAUUUGCUGA
Long non-coding RNA from Quercus robur (English oak), 584 nucleotides. RefSeq lists it as uncharacterized. The transcript has 2 exons. The record is from RefSeq and is a predicted model, not a curated record. Lineage: Eukaryota; Viridiplantae; Streptophyta; Magnoliopsida; Fagales; Fagaceae.